UCAGAACGAACGCUGGCGGCAGGCCUAACACAUGCAAGUCGAGCGCGCCUUCGGGCGAGCGGCGGACGGGUUAGUAACGCGUGGGAAUAUGCCCAGAUCUAAGGAAUAGCCACUGGAAACGGUGAGUAAUACCUUAUACGCCCUUUGGGGGAAAGAUUUAUCGGAUUUGGAUUAGCCCGCGUUAGAUUAGGUAGUUGGUGGGGUAAUGGCCUACCAAGCCUACGAUCUAUAGCUGGUUUUAGAGGAUGAUCAGCAACACUGGGACUGAGACACGGCCCAGACUCCUACGGGAGGCAGCAGUGGGGAAUCUUGGACAAUGGGGGCAACCCUGAUCCAGCCAUGCCGCGUGAGUGAUGAAGGCCUUAGGGUCGUAAAGCUCUUUCGCCUGUGAAGAUAAUGACGGUAGCAGGUAAAGAAACCCCGGCUAACUCCGUGCCAGCAGCCGCGGUAAUACGGAGGGGGUUAGCGUUGUUCGGAAUUACUGGGCGUAAAGCGCACGUAGGCGGAUCGGAAAGUUGGGGGUGAAAUCCCGGGGCUCAACCCCGGAACUGCCUCCAAAACUAUCGGUCUAGAGUUCGAGAGAGGUGAGUGGAAUUCCGAGUGUAGAGGUGAAAUUCGUAGAUAUUCGGAGGAACACCAGUGGCGAAGGCGGCUCACUGGCUCG
Molecule: ribosomal RNA, 664 nt
Filed under: Ruegeria sp.
Lineage: Bacteria; Pseudomonadati; Pseudomonadota; Alphaproteobacteria; Rhodobacterales; Roseobacteraceae
Description: bacterial SSU rRNA
Rfam family: Bacterial small subunit ribosomal RNA
Source: RNAcentral